This 409-nucleotide ribosomal RNA is filed under the name uncultured bacterium. RNAcentral's name for it is "partial 16S ribosomal RNA". It matches the Rfam family "Bacterial small subunit ribosomal RNA", at positions 355 to 755 of the family's 1533-position model. The record is from RNAcentral.
CGGGGAAUAUUGGACAAUGGGCGCAAGCCUGAUCCAGCAAUGCCGCGUGUGUGAAGAAGGCCCUUCGGGUUGUAAAGCACUUUUAUCAGGAGCGAAACGCUGUCGGCUAAUACCCGGCGGAACUGACGGUACCUGAGGAAUAAGCACCGGCUAACUUCGUGCCAGCAGCCGCGGUAAUACGAAGGGUGCAAGCGUUAAUCGGAAUUACUGGGCGUAAAGCGUUCGUAGGCGGUUUCUUAAGUCUGCUGUGAAAUCCCCGGGCUCAACCUGGGAAUGGCAGUGGAUACUGGGAGGCUAGAGUGUGUCAGAGGGUGGUGGAAUUCCCGGUGUAGCGGUGAAAUGCGUAGAGAUCGGGAGGAACAUCAGUGGCGAAGGCGGCCACCUGGGACAACACUGACGCUGAGGCACG